RNAcentral lists this ribosomal RNA (216 nucleotides) under Glomeromycotina sp. RNAcentral's name for it is "partial small subunit ribosomal RNA". The stretch from base 40 to 216 matches the Rfam family "Eukaryotic small subunit ribosomal RNA", at positions 686 to 864 of the family's 1831-position model. The record is from RNAcentral. Lineage: Eukaryota; Fungi; Glomeromycota.
GGGUCAGUAGGUUGGUCGUGCCACCGGUACGUACUGGUCUCACUGAUUCCUCCUUCCUGAGGAACCGUAAUGCCAUUAAUUUGGUGUUGCGGGGAAACAGGACUGUUACCUUGAAAAAAUUAGAGUGUUUAAAGCAAGCUAACGCUUGAAUACAUUAGCAUGGAAUAAUGAAAUAGGAUGAUCGAUCCUAUUUUGUUGGUUUCUAGGAUUUACGUA